This is a long non-coding RNA of Pygocentrus nattereri (red-bellied piranha), 1423 nucleotides long. NCBI's taxonomy places the organism in Eukaryota, Metazoa, Chordata, Actinopteri, Characiformes, Serrasalmidae. The record is from Ensembl.
GCUUUAGACCUGGAAGUGGACUCUUAAAGAGUCUUGUCAAAGUCCUCUAUUAAAACCUGACUCAAGCAGAAGCAGAACAACAACAAGAAGUAGCUCCAGAUACCUGUCCAAGAUCAGCUCUGGGAGCUCCUGGACACACAUGGAAGUAAUGCAUGACUGAACAUUUUAUGUGUAUUUUCACAGUGAUUGACUUGAACAUUGCUAGCUUUAAUUAUACUAUUACAAACACUUAUAUGGAGUACAGGAGCUACUACUCUAGCUUCUAAGGGCAUCAUAAGGCUGGUCCUGCAGUUCAUGUUGGUCUGUGACAGAAGUAGACUACAGCCUAAAAGGCUUAAUCGAGUUAUUUUCAGCACGGUCAGCGUGAUGACAGUCAGUCCAGCGGUUCUCUGGGCUGCCUUGUCUUGUGGAAAUGUGGGAGAGGAAACAUCCUGUGCAUGUGAGUGCCACUGAGCCCCAUCCCAGCUCCGACCACAGCCUGGCCGCUCUGCGCAAUGGGGGCCUAAAGGGAUAAAGCCCAAGUGCAUGCUGGGAAAACAGCUGGGACCACAUUUCCCAAAACACUGCAGCACAAAGAUUAGCAUGUGAUAGAAGAUAGCAAUUUUUAGGCUGAACACUUUAAAGACAUGAUGAAAUUGACAGAAUAGACCCACAGGCUAAGAAGGAAAAAAGCAAAAUCACAGUUUGGGUGCCUCAUCAAGUGACGUUUUCUUUAUUUUCAGAGUAAAAAGUUAAUAUAUCAUCUACAGAGCAACACUUCUCCACAUUUUGAUCCACAAUUACUGUUCCCAAUGUCAAACUCAGCAAAAAAUAGAAAUUGUAAGAUUUGCAAAAACUCCCCAUAUUUAAGUAUGUUCCCUGCACAGCAUUUGCUGCCUUGUUGUCACAUUUUCAAAUACAUAUACAUAAACAAAACAUGUUAAUUAAACAGGGGAAUCUAAACAUUUCCAUAUGACUGUAUAUGCACUACUUUUCUGAACUUUGGAAUUAUUUGUCAUGUUAAUAGCUACUGUGAUUUUAUUCAGUACUAUAAACUAGACACCAGAAGGUAUUUUAUCCAGUAUCUUAAGGUAUUAUCUGUCUGAGAUUUGAUCACUAUGUUUCAAAUAUUGUGUAAAUUUUAUUAUAACUUGAUGGACAAUGUUUUACAGCCUACACAUUCUUUGUAGAAUUAUCAGCAGCUCUGCUCAUCAUUCUGGAUCCACCUGACAUUUCUUCAUUUUUUACAGCUUCAUAUGAAAUAUAUGAUCCUUGUGAAACUGUAAAGUAGUAACACAGUAGCAGAAAUAGCUUCAUUAUAUGCAUGUAUCUGCAACAAAGUGGUUUUAUGUUUUUUGGAACAGUCUAAAUGGUUUUGACCUUUUUAGGGAAAACAUUUUGAUAAUAAGGAAUACAGGAUCUUUGUGAAGCAUCUGUUUAUUUU